Molecule: long non-coding RNA, 1309 nt
Filed under: Salmo salar (Atlantic salmon)
Lineage: Eukaryota; Metazoa; Chordata; Actinopteri; Salmoniformes; Salmonidae
Description: lncRNA (ENSSSAG00000102021.1, ENSSSAG00075062338.1)
Source: RNAcentral
ACUAUCGAUUGCAGUCGGGUACUACGAAAAGGCGCUCACAUCAUAGACCCCGCAUAACUGGUUUGAUGGAGAGGACCGUUUUAGCUAAAUAUAGGCAAAGUGUGGAAGAAGAAUUAUGAAAGAACGUGUUUAAAGGAAGAAGAGGAACGUGUAUGUGUGUUUGAAAGAGAGAGCAAGACGUUUUAAUAAACAGCAGUUUAUAGGCCACCACACAUUUCAUGGAUAUGGGAUUAACUAACCACAGAAAAUGAUGCAUAUCGACGAUAAGAAAUACAGUAAACUCCUGGCACCAUGUCAUUACUUCAGCUGACUAACUUCCUGGAGGCUCUGUAUACCUUUCCCGAAUGGUUCGAGUAAGUGGGUGGGUAGGCCUAUGCAUGUAUUAUGAACUGGGUUUGUUUGUUGCACAAUUCCCCAAAACUGUGUUUAGACGAACAAAUCGAGAUAGGAAUGUUGGUUCAAUCUGAUUAUAUUUGCUAGGCCUACUUUUCCAAAUUCAUCUCAACUGCCAUUGAAAAUGGAGGCUCAGCAGGUCGCACUUGGGUCCAUUGCCAACCCGGUAUCAUUUCGGGACCACAACUAUGUAGCUGUCCUAGAUGGGUGCGUUAAGUCCGGUUCGUUGUUCUGACCCAACUUUCGCCCCGGACCAGACCUCCAUCGAUAUGCCUACCGCCCCGGACCCCAGCAAAGAGAUCAAAUGGCUGCGAACCAAGGACCUGAGCCCUAGGACCAUGCCUCAGGACUACCUGGCAUGAUGACUCCUUGCUGUCCCCAGUUCACCUGGCCGUGCUGCUGCUCCAGUUUCAACUGUUCUGCCUGCGGCUAUGGAACCCUGACCUGUUCACCGGACGUGCUUGUUGCACCCUCGACAACUACUAUGAUUAUUAUUAUUUGACCAUGCUGGUCAUUUAUGAACAUUUUAACAUCUUGACCAUGUUCUGCUAUAAUAUCCACCCUGCACAGCCAGAAGAGGACUGGCCACCCCUCAUAGCCUGGUUCCUCUCUAGGUUUCUUCCGAGGUUUUUGGCCUUUCUAGGGAGUUUUUCCUAGGGAGUUUUUCCUAGCCACUGUGCUUCUUUCACAUGCAUUGCUUGCUGUUUGGGGUUUUAGGCUGGGUUUCUGUACAGCACUUUGAGAUAUCAGCUGAUGUACGAAGGGCUAUAUAAAUAAAUUUGAUUUGAUUUAAAUGUCUCAUUGAAAAACCCUCAGUAAAAGUGCAUUCGGAAAGUUUUCAGACCCCUUGACUUUUUCCACAUUUUGUUACAUUACAGCCUUAUUCUAAAAUCUAUUCAUUAACAUUUCCUCUCAU